AUGCAGUGAUGUGGACACUUCCUCAAUAAUUCCUUGUAUCUUUCCCAUGCCUCAUACAAAGGCUCUCCAUCUUACUGAACAAAAGAUGUAAUCUCCCCUCUGAUUUU
Abrus precatorius (Indian licorice) is the source of this 107-nucleotide small nucleolar RNA. The record is from RefSeq and is a predicted model, not a curated record. Lineage: Eukaryota; Viridiplantae; Streptophyta; Magnoliopsida; Fabales; Fabaceae.